Molecule: long non-coding RNA, 155 nt
Organism: Diprion similis
Lineage: Eukaryota; Metazoa; Arthropoda; Insecta; Hymenoptera; Diprionidae
Exons: 3
Source: RefSeq, a predicted model, not a curated record
UAAUUUCUAAGCACCAUUCGGAUUGAACCCUUAUUGCUUAUCAGCGCCAUUCUGGUGACUUAUUGAACCAUUAUUUGCUGCUUUUUGGCGGACACUUUUUCGGUUGAAAACCCAUAUGAGAUACUUCUUCUUACCUCUACCCUCCAUAAUUGCAU